ACGAACGCUGGCGGCGUGCUUAACACAUGCAAGUCUACGAGAAAAGAGUAGCAAUAUUCUGAGUAAAGUGGCGCAAGGGUGCGUAACUCGUAAGCAAUCUACCUUUAGAAGGGGAAUAACCCAGCGAAAGCCGGACUAAUACCCCAUAAUGCAGCGGAACCGCAUGGUUAUGUUGUUAAAGUCUAUAUGACGUCUAGAGAUGAGCUUGCGUCUGAUUAGCUAGUUGGUGAGGUAACGGCUCACCAAGGCUACGAUCAGUAGCUGGUCUGAGAGGAUGAUCAGCCACACUGGAACUGAGACACGGUCCAGACUCCUACGGGAGGCAGCAGUGAGGAAUAUUGGGCAAUGGACGCAAGUCUGACCCAGCAACGCCGCGUGAAGGAUGAAUGUCGUAAGAUUGUAAACUUCUGUGAGAAGGGACGAAAAAACAGGCUCAAACCCUGUUCUGACGGUACCUUCAGAGGAAGCCCCGGCUAACUACG
Molecule: ribosomal RNA, 482 nt
Filed under: uncultured bacterium
Lineage: Bacteria
Description: bacterial SSU rRNA
Rfam family: Bacterial small subunit ribosomal RNA
Source: RNAcentral